Molecule: long non-coding RNA, 2422 nt
Organism: Tetranychus urticae (two-spotted spider mite)
Lineage: Eukaryota; Metazoa; Arthropoda; Arachnida; Trombidiformes; Tetranychidae
Source: RefSeq, a predicted model, not a curated record
UCAUUCUUUCUCUUCUGUCUCUCGUCUGUUUAACCAGGAGAAAGUCUCUCCGUCUUUGCUUUAUUUUAUAUUGAAUUUUGCUCAUGUUUACUAUUUAAUCUAACCUCGGGGCAACUUGGAAUUGUGAGUUUUACAGUCAACUAAACAUCAUGAAAAUAAGUUACCAAUGAUCAAAUGGAAAGAGACAAGUCAACUCUUUUCAAUGUCUACUUAUAAUUUGUGUUCACAGACUUUGUCAAUCUUAUUGAAAUCUCUUUUUUACUUUUUUCUGUUUCCCUGUGAAAUUAACAAUCAACAUGCUCAUGUAGUUCAUCAUUUCACUUUCUAAAUCAUUAUCUUGGAAGACAAACAAAAACCAAAAAACGCCAUUUCAAUUAGAUUUUUAGCUUUCUUAACCAACCCCUUGGAGCAGUUUGAACUUAAACAAUUUUCCCUUAUUUAACAAAGCAAAUAACAAUGAUUCAUCGUAAAGUAAUGCGUCUUAAUGUGCAACUAGAUAUUUUAUGUAAUUGUUUUUUUGUUUCAAUAAUUGUUUAAAACCACCAAUUAUAACUGGAUUAAAAUUGAUAUUUAAAAGUAUAUUAAACAAGUGAAAAAUGGUCAUCUUACCACCACCAUCAUCAUCUUAAAAUAUAAUCUGUUUUUUAGGUGUGAUAGAAAGCAUGGUUGCCUUAAGGGUUUAUCGUGUUAACCCAACCUCAGUUUUAAGACAUCUCGUAACAACUCUUAUUUAACCUUUUGGUUUUAGGUGUUGUCGACGUUAAUAAUUAUCAUUAAGAAUGUUUAAACUGUAAUCAAAUAGUUGCUAAAUAUUGCUCCAAGUAAAAUACAAUUUAAAUAAUUGUGUACUUUCAUCUUUAACUUGCCAUCAACGCACAAAUUUUUUCAAGUCUUCACUUUUCAAUCGCUUAGUCAACGUAAAAAUCUAUUUUACUGUAAACAACAAUUUAUAUCGUUAAUUUAUCGUUAAUUUAUCUUGAUGGUAAUAAGCAAUUGGUUAUUCAAAUAAUGCUUAAUUUGGCUUAUCAACAUCAUAUUAUUUCGCUUGUGGAUUUACAUUUUGUUUGGACUAACAAGCCUUUCCACUUCUUUUAAGGAUUUGUUGAAAGUAGAGCUUCAAAUCGAUGGUUGUUAAGUAUGUUUUUGGUUAACAAAUAAUUAGUUAAUUUGUUCCUUUAAAAAGGCAUAAAUGGAUUAUCAAAAUUUACAAAAAAGGGAUUGGUCUUGAAUGCUGUUGAAAAGAGAGGAAAAAAUAUGAAUACAAUUGGAUGGAAGAAAAUUUAUCCUCAUCUUUUUGGUUUCUCUAACAUCUUACAAUCUUCUCAUUUAUUUUCAUCUUCAACAUCAUGAUUGUGAAUAAGUUAUGACAAGAUAUCAAAUUGAUCUGGAAGGCUUAACACUGUCACAAUCAAUAAAAAGUUUUCUCCGUUUUUCAAGUUGAUAAUAGAUCUUGAACAACAACUUUGAUACAGUAUAAAUUUAUCAUCCAUUCCUGCUCCUCCUCACCAUCACCAGCAUCACCAGAGUUGAUCAUUUUUUACAUUCUGACACCAAACAUGAUCCUUUCCAUUCUCUAAAUUACACUUCACUUGACAAUCAAUUGAAACCAGCUAAAAAACAAUCCAAUAAUAAUGAUAAUCAUCAUUUUCAACAAUUUAGUUUAAAAUGAACUCAAUCAACUUUAAUCUUUAUCAAAUGCUUCAUUUGUCAUCUCAGUGCACAACAACAAAUGAUAAUAAUAAUUCCAAUGGUAAAAUAAUUUCACAGGUUGAUUUAACGUUAAAUGGCUAGGAAAGAACCAGUUAAGCUUGGUUAAUCAAUAUGCUGAUAAUUAAAUAAAUGGACGCUAUGGAGGUGAAGAGCAUAGCUUUAGCAUUUACCUUUCACGAUCAAUCGUAAUCAAUCUUUGCCAACUUUACGCUUUUCAAUUUAACAUGGAAACAAAAUCUGGCCAAUCUCAAUAUUUUCAUAACAAAAGCGAUUAAUAAUUAGCCACCAUUUUCCGAUUAUACUCCAAGUGUUCAUUGUCCAGUUUACUUGAAGGAUUACCUUUUCUUAGCUCACCCUAUUAUUACAAAUAAUCAGUCAUCUUGACAAUAAUGAAUGUUGAAUGUCAUGUAAGUUUUACUAUGAAUAUUAAUAUUAGCCUGAUUGCAGAACCAGGUAAGAUUACCUGAGCCUGAGUCGAUGAUAUAAUUGCCUAUUAUACAGUCAAUUUCUAGUCAAUCUUUUUCAUGCUACUUACUGUAGUGAUCAUGCAACAAUCUAAUCAAAAUAUCUUCCAUUCUACCUCUUUCCUAUUCUUAAUCAUCUUUUCUCGUCAUCUUCACCAUCAUAUAUUUCAUUUAGAUUGAAUAGAGAAAAUUAAUUUCAAUCAUAAUUUCAUUAAACAGACCGAUAAUUAUCAAUUACAAUAAUCUAA